AGAACGAACGCUGGCGGCAGGCCUCAAACAUGCAAGUCUAGGGGGUGUAGCAAUACAUCACCGGCGGACGGGUGCGUAACGCGUGGGAAUAUACCUAUUGGUUCGGAACAACUGAGGGAAACUUCAGCUAAAUACCGAAUAAGUCCUUACGGAGAAAGAUUUAUCGCCAAUAGAUUAGCCCGCGUUCGAUUAGCUAGUUGGUGGGGUAACGGCCCACCAAGGCGACGAUCGAUAGCUGUUCUGAGAGGAAGAUCAGCCACACUGGGACUGAGACACGGCCCAGACUCCUACGGGAGGCAGCAGUUGGGAAUCUUGGACAAUGGGGGAAACCCUGAUCCAGCCAUGCCGCGUGAGUGAUGAAGGCCUUCGGGUUGUAAAACUCUUUCGCGCACGACGAUAAGUGACGGUAGUGCGAGAAGAGCUCCGGCUAACUUCGCGCCAGCAGCCGC
Molecule: ribosomal RNA, 449 nt
Filed under: uncultured bacterium
Lineage: Bacteria
Description: SSU rRNA
Rfam family: Bacterial small subunit ribosomal RNA
Source: RNAcentral